UACGUAGGGUGCAAGCGUUGUCCGGAAUUAUUGGGCGUAAAGAGCUCGUAGGCGGUCUGUCGCGUCGGCUGUGAAAACUCGGGGCUCAACCCCGAGCCUGCAGUCGAUACGGGCAGACUAGAGUUCGGUAGGGGAGACUGGAAUUCCUGGUGUAGCGGUGAAAUGCGCAGAUAUCAGGAGGAACACCGGUGGCGAAGGCGGGUCUCUGGGCCGAUACUGACGCUGAGGAGCGAAAGCGUGGGGAGCGAACAGG
Molecule: ribosomal RNA, 253 nt
Filed under: uncultured bacterium
Lineage: Bacteria
Description: partial 16S ribosomal RNA
Rfam family: Bacterial small subunit ribosomal RNA
Source: RNAcentral